UGGGGCAUGGUGUAAUUGGCAACACGUCGGUUUCUGGUUCCGAAGAGUCUAGGUUCGAGACCUAGUGCCCCAUCCA
Molecule: transfer RNA, 76 nt
Filed under: Deltaproteobacteria bacterium
Lineage: Bacteria; Pseudomonadati; Myxococcota; Myxococcia
Also listed under: 1 other name
Description: tRNA-Gln
Rfam family: tRNA
About the family: Transfer RNA (tRNA) molecules are approximately 80 nucleotides in length. Their secondary structure includes four short double-helical elements and three loops (D, anti-codon, and T loops).
Source: RNAcentral